RNAcentral lists this ribosomal RNA (327 nucleotides) under Triticum aestivum (bread wheat). RNAcentral describes it as "partial small subunit ribosomal RNA". Lineage: Eukaryota; Viridiplantae; Streptophyta; Magnoliopsida; Poales; Poaceae. The record is from RNAcentral.
AUGCACCGGCGCGCUCAGAACGCGCUGAUCUCGCCGGCCGCCGUCGCCGCCGGCACCUUGCGCGGGCACAGGGACACGACGCCGCCCAUUGUGUUCUUGCAGUGCGCGAUAGCGCCCUCGAUGGCGCUCUGGAGCUCCUCCAUCGAAGACGACGACGCCGCCGACAGCGACACGGGCCGCAUGCCAAUGCUGCUUGUCAUGGCCGCCGCUGCUGCGGCCGGCACGUCGGGGAAGCCCACGCCGCCCGCUCCGCCGAAGGAGAGCAUCCCGGAGUGGUUCGGCGACGACCGCAUCGACGACGGGCAGCUCGCCGCGCACCGCUUCUGA